UCCCAGCCUCCCACGCAAGAACGCUCCACCGCGCUUCCCCAGCAUCGUCGUCGCCCGGCAUGGUGGCCCUCGCCUCUCGCGCUGGCCCACCCUCGCCGCCGCCGGCCUGGCAGCGUGGCUCUGCGGUCGCAGCCACUCGCGCUUCUCUGCGGCGCUAAGGCCAGGCUCCGCCCCGAUGGCGCCCGCCUCUGCCACUUCUGCUGCCGCCACGGCCUCCUCCUCCUCCCGUCUUGUCCGGCCUCCUCCCGCUGAUCUCGCUUGGAUGGCCGAGGCGUGAUGGCCUGCAACCCUGACGUCGAUGCCUGACAGGAUCCCCCGUUCCUCACCGGUUCCCCCUUGUGCCCCACUCCCUCCCGGUCUUGCAAGUUCCUCAAUCAAUCGGUUCCCGUGUCACCUGCGCGUCAGAUCGGCGAAGCGAGGUAAGCAGGAGCAGCUUGGGACCAGAUCCGCCGCUGCAUAAGCGGAAGGCCAUGGAGACGCCUCCGCCUUUCUAGGAGUCCGCCCACUGCGAUGUCUGCCGCUGCACCUUCGGCACCUUCCGCCGCCGUCACCAUUGCCCCAGCUGCGGAAGGACGCUCUGUCACGAGCACUCUUCGUACCACAUGUAUGGGAUACAUAUACCGACGUCAGAGUCUGCUACAAUUGCUUCAACAAGAAAUCCUCGAGGUAUCCAUCCUCUUAGGGGUAAAUCCAUGGAGUGUCGAUGAUGUGGCCGACGCCUUGUGCCAAGCAACUUACUUGACAGAGUAUGAGAAACAGCUACGGCAUGAAAAGCAUUAUCGCUAUGUCAGCACUCAUGAUGUUGCUAUUACUGGGCACACAGCUUUGCUCAAGAUCUGGAAAGAGCAUGCAAAGAUCAUUACAGCUGAAGGUGCUGGGCUAUCGGGUUUGGUCUGGCUCUCUCCUGGUUUCAGGAAGCUGUCUUCGGAGCACUUUGUUUCUUGUUAUAACAAGGCUUCCAGAAGAGCGAUAUUUCUUGACUACGAUGAUACACUUGUGCCCCAGUCAUCAAUCAACAAAGCUCCCAAUGCUGAAGUCGUUUCAAUUCUCAAAACCUUAUGCAAUCAUCCAAAGAACAAUGUAUUUAUAGUCAGCGGACGGGGACAAGAUUCUCUUGAUGAGUGGUUUUCUGCAUGUGAGAAACUUGGUAUAUAGGGCCUAUUGGUAUAGCUGCAGAACAUUACUAUUUUGUCAGGUGGAGCAAAGAAGCUGUAUGGGAAUCAAGCUAUCCAAGUCCACAACGUGAAUGGAAGUACAUUGCUGAACCUGUUAUGCCGGCAGUUGCAAUCUUGAUGCCGGCGUCCCCUUCUCACUGGUGUUCUUAUUGGCACUUGAGGCAAUUAGUUUGUCAAAAGAGUAAUUGGUACUGCCUAGAUUUUUUUUUGAAGAAAUGCCUAGAGUUUCUUUCACCAGUCCUAGAUAACGUGGUCAUAUAAGAGUUACAAGGCACGUUUUCCUGUGUUACGAGAGUUAUAAGACUUAUAAGGCAGUUUUCUUUCCACAGUAAUAUUUCAGUGCAGACAUAAUUAUAUCAUGUGCUAUGUUUUUGUUAUUGAACAAUAUUACUGUGUGUGAUGAUAAA
Long non-coding RNA from Panicum virgatum (switchgrass), 1582 nucleotides. RefSeq lists it as uncharacterized. The record is from RefSeq and is a predicted model, not a curated record. Lineage: Eukaryota; Viridiplantae; Streptophyta; Magnoliopsida; Poales; Poaceae. The transcript is spliced from 4 exons.